AUUGAACGCUGGCGGCAGGCCUAACACAUGCAAGUCGAGCGGAUGAAGGGAGCUUGCUCCUGGAUUCAGCGGCGGACGGGUGAGUAAUGCCUAGGAAUCUGCCUGGUAGUUGGGGAUAACGUCCGGAAACGGGCGCUAAUACCGCAUACGUCCUGAGGGAGAAAGUGGGGGAUCUUCGGACCUCACGCUAUCAGAUGAGCCUAGGUCGUAUUAGCUAGUUGGUGUGGUAAAGGCCUACCAAGGCGACGAUCCGUAACUGGUCUGAGAGGAUGAUCAGUCACACUGGAACUGAGACACGGUCCAGACUCCUACGGGAGGCAGCAGUGGGGAAUCUUGGGCAAUGGGCGAAAGCCUGAUCCAGCCAUGCCGCGUGUGUGAAGAAGGUCUUCGGAUUGUAAAGCACUUUAAGUUGGGAGGAAGAGAAGUAAGUGAAUACCUUGCUGUUUUGACGUUACCAACAGAAUAAGCACCGGCUAACUUCGUG
Molecule: ribosomal RNA, 484 nt
Filed under: uncultured bacterium
Lineage: Bacteria
Description: partial 16S ribosomal RNA
Rfam family: Bacterial small subunit ribosomal RNA
Source: RNAcentral